AAAAAAAAAAAAAAAAGAAGAAAAGAAAAAAAAUAUUGCAAAAUCCUUCAAUCAAAGGGCUUGAAAUGAGAAAAGCCCAAAAAUUUGAAGGAUUUUAUUGAGAGAAUCAAUGAGUGUGGGGGAGGGGAGGGGGUUUCCAACAGGUAAAAAAAAGUUGUAAUAAAGGCAGAUCUAGAGAGAGAAAGACAGAAGAGAUUAUGGAGCUGUGAUUGGUUAUAGAUUUUCUUUGUCUAUCUCUUGUGGGUUCUAUAGAAAGAAAGGAUUGGAAUUGAACAACAAAGCAUGGGUCUUGGAGAUCAAUGAUAAUUGAUAAGAGGGCUCUCUUCUCUCCUCUGUGAUUUCUUUGUGUGCUUAUUGUUGUUGGAUUUUCACUUUGUUUUUAUUUUUUAAUUUUUCUAAAUUAUUUUAUUUUGCCUUUUGGAGGGUUUUUGACAUUCA
This 438-nucleotide unclassified non-coding RNA is filed under the name Hevea brasiliensis (rubber tree). The record is from RNAcentral. Lineage: Eukaryota; Viridiplantae; Streptophyta; Magnoliopsida; Malpighiales; Euphorbiaceae.